UUGCAGUUUUUUUGGUCUUAAUAAGGUUUUUUUGCCCACAUAGUUGAUGACUCUGAAACGAGGAGAGAAUUUAACCACUCAGUUUUCUGACCUGUCACUGGAUCCUACCCAGUAGUAUCAGAAGGAAGCUGAAAAUGGUGUUAGCUGCACUUAGGACAAACAAAAAUCAUUCCAGGUAAAAUAACCUUGUAAAGAAAAGUAAUAGUGUAUUAUAGAGGCCUUGGCUAGGUUCAUGAUGACAAAGGACCUUGUCUGAACAUAAUGAUUUCAAAACUUGAGCUUAAAUGACACUCUGAAAUCCAGUCAAUGUGCCUCAGUAGACUUUUCAGAGAACAUUAUUUUCAACAGAUAUUUUGACUUACUGUGGAAACUUGAAUACUUAGAAAUGGCAGGUGUAAAUUGUCAGUAUACAUUGCCAAUUCUUCAGACAUCUUUUUUUAAGUUUUCAUAAGAUAUUCUGAGCUUAUUAUUUUUCCCUUCUUUUUAAACAUAUAUGCUGUUGAAAGCAAAAAAGGAAACUCAUCCUUAGAUCCCAGAAGGUGCACACACAUGUUGAGAUGGAAGCAAGGACAUGUAAAAGGGAGACAACAACCUCUUCGAUCAAACAUAGAAUGCCAAAAUUAGUGAUGUCCAGGAAAGAGGGGAACUAAUAUUUGUGGAACAUGUAUUAUAAAAUGCAGUGAGUAUGGGGUGAGAGGAUCUCUACUGCUUAAUUGAGAUGAUGAAGGACCAAUAAGAGAGCAGUAUUUGAAAUCCAGUUCCAAGGAUAUAUUUGUUUUAGAUGUGAAUGUUGAUUAAUGACUUCAGGUAUUAAGUGCAACAAGUCCAUCUAUGCCAAAACUUCAGAUUCUCUAAUUCAUCUGUCUGCCAGAGCAGCCUUUUGGAAAGAUAAUGACAAAUAUCAUCAUGUUGCUUCAAAAAUCUGCAGUUGACAUGUUUCAAGAGUGAUAGAAAUAAGCAAUAAUCAGAGAAGAGGACAAAGAUUAUAUAAAUUGAUAAUAUUUAGAGCAUCUUUUGACUCUGACAGAACUGGAAGUUCUACUUUCACUCCCUGAAUAAGAUGCUCCUGAUAAUCUGGAGAAAUUUUUGCAGCAAGAAAGAAUGUGAUUAAAAUCCACAAUGGUAGAGGAUAAUGUGCGAACCUUUUUCCCAUUAACAUGGACAGGGAAGGAUAGUUUGAGUGCCUCUGCAUUGAUAAAAUUGUAGUUUUCAAGUUAUUCUGGGGUAUCCUGUGCAAUUUUACUUAUGGACUGCUAUGGAAGUCUAAAUCUGAUGUUGAUUUAAGGGGUCACUGACCAGGACCUUCCUGUAGAGACAGUCUAGAUCUUCUGCUCUAUAUCAUGGUCCAACAUGAUCAGCACAUCAUCUCUCAUUCCAAAUUAUUCCCAAAAAUGCAAGUGUGUGAACGUGUCUGCUGAGUUGAAAAUUAUUUCAAGUGGAUGACACUUAAUAGUAUUGGUCUUGUGUGGACAAUCUCAAGUACAUUUAAGCCAGCCUUCUAGGAAGAUAUGAAAAGAAGGGGAAGGACAACACAUCAUGUAUUAAUCUAGAAGUUUCAUCAACUACAAAUAAUCACAGACAAAGAUGCACACAGUCCUGAAAUUCAUCUUUCCUUUCAAAUAUUUAUAUUUCAUUGCUAGUCUUUGAAUUUGGAAAAUAAUCUCAAUAUUUUGCUUUUUAUGGAGUAUCAACUUGCCAUCAAAAUGUUUACCAGUGAGAGCCUUGCAUAUGUGACAUUGAUUACAUAUGUGAUAAACACAAGUAUUAGUUUUCUUUUUUUUUUCUUCCACUGUCUGCCAUUUUAAAAGAGCUAGGAACCUCCUCUAUUAACUAUUUUACUGGACAUAUAUAGCUUAAGAAUUUAUCUAAAUACUUACAAAAAUUGUGAUUGAGUAAUGGUAUUGAAAUGGAAAUAUAAAGUACUCAGUAAAUGAUGAAUAUGCAUGAACUGUUCAUUAGAUAUUUGGUGGUGAAAUGAAAUUAAACAUGUAGUAAUUUUCUAUGUAUUUUAUUCGUUCUUUGCUUAACGUUUUUUGGAAUCUAAUGCUAAAACACAGAGACCUACAUUUAUAAACAAAUCUUUGUUUUUAGGUAUUUUUAAAAAUGGUUGCUGUGAUAAUCGAGGUUUCCUAGGGAAGUUUAUAAAAACAUGUUUGGUAAAACUGCCUUCUGGAAAAUAUUUUAGAAAGAAAUGGGCCAUUUUGUUAAGAUGUACUGAAUUCUAUAUUUAUUGUACAAGUGCUUAUGUAAAGCAAAGAGGAAAUGGGCAUGGGAGCAUUUACUAUAUUAAUCAGGAAAAAAUGUAAGGUACUAGUUAUUUAUGUGCAUUUUGAGACUGUUGUAUAUGAAAUAACCAAAUAUAAUUGCUUUGUGACCUUAAGGCAUUGUGAUUGCUAAGAAGGUAGUUGCUAACAUAUGUAGAAAAAAUAUUUUUUUAGUAACAUGACUAUAGAAAUAGAAGUUACCUCUGAAUGAUGGAUAUUUAAUAUCAUAUGAUGGGAUUGCUGUGGCUUUUUUUGGGGUUGGGAUUGGGGUAGGGAUUGUUCUGUAUGCAGUGGUCAUAAUAAGAAAUUUUUUAAGGCUGCUAUAUAUGGCUGUGGAUGUUAUCCUCUAAAUGCUCAUUAUGUUAAUAUUUGUUUGGUACGAGAUUUAAUUCUCAUGAUGGAAUUGCUGCAUAAGAGGCCAGUCUCUAUGCAUGUUUAAUGGACCAGGAUAUAAUGGGCUUUUUUAUUUCUCUGUAUAUAAUAGAAAAAAGUACUGUUAAAACACCCUUUUAAGCAUGGUGAUGGUUGACAUUUGGUCAUUUAAAUUGUUCGAAUGUAGUUUCAUUGGAUUACAGAGAGGAGUUUCUAGAUUGCCUUGUUUGUUUUAAACAAAUAAAAGCACAAUUUAGAAGAUAGAGAAUAAGAAAUUUUUGAAGGCUAUAGGAGUUGCAUAUGUACAGAGAUAGUUCUUGAUCAGGCAGGCUUUACUCCAUGUUCAGAUGUUGGGAAUCUUACAUGUAUUUUAUUAAUACUGUAAUGUUAAACUGGUGUGGGUUUUUGUUACUCUUUUAACUAGUAACAAAAUUGGAAUUGUGGAAUUGCCUCUCAAUUCCAAAAAUUAAUUCCUUUUCAGUUGAUAAUGUUACAUAUUUUAUUACAGUGUUAUAUAUAAUGUAACUUUCUUUGUUUAACAUCUAAUUUUUUACAUAUAUAGACACAACUGUAAAUAUUAUAGGACAGACAUUUUUAUUUCCCCAAAGUGAUAUUAUAUCUAGCCUCUUCAGAUAUUUAGGCUCAACUUUUAGGUUUUGGUAAAUGUGUAGUGUCUAGUAUAAUAUCUCAUUGUUUUACGUAAGAUUUAUCAUGGUAGAAAUGUCAUAUCAAUUGGUCUGACUCUGUUCAUGGUUUUCAGAUGUUUGUAUACCAACAGAAAAUACAGUUACUAGAUAAAUCCUACAUGUGGUUAAACGUAACAGGUUAGAAAAGCUUUCAUGUCAGUGGAAUUCCACAUUUAAUAAUAGCCAAAUUGUUCUUGUUUUAAUAUAUUUACAUCUAAUUAUAUAGGUGUAGGUGAUUGUAAGUUUUUUGUGAGAUGUUCACAAUUAUCUGUCAAACCUAUGGUCAUUAAAGGAUGGGAUGAUCCAAGAAAUGUUUUAUAUAAUGUGCAUAUAAUAGACACAGUUAUUAUGUUUUAUUAAAGCCAAGGAACUAUUAUAUCAGCAUGUUUUGUAAAUAUAUUAAUUAUAAAUACUGAAAAAUUACCGUAACAGUUGUCAGAUUAUCUCUUAGUAAAAAAUUAGGCAGGUGAAGUUCAUGGGAUUUUGUUACAUUGUUCUUUGUGGAAUAGUUAGGAUAUAUAAUAGUUUUUCCUUUAAACUUUUAAUUCUUGAUUUUACAGGGUUUCUUUCAUGUACACCUGUGUAAUAUACACACAACUGUAUAGUAUACAGGUCUAUAAAAUAAGUGUUUAUUAAAAAUCAUAGCAAAGAGACGUUUUUUGGCCAAGUAAUUAUCACUCAGGUUUAGUCUGUUCUUUAUGUCAUUUUGUGGUUCAUGAUGAAGGGAGUUGCAGUUUGAGCUUUAGUUGCUGAAGAUAUUGUUAGAUUGUUACCUAAGUCAAUAGACCAAUACUAGUUUUUGUUUCAGAACAUCUGCUGAUAGGCACUUAUUUUUUGAAUACACAUCUGAGAGACAGUGUGAAAACAUUUUAUUUUGGCAAGUUGAAUCACUAAACAUGUCUGUUUAGGAUGUAUUUGGUGCUGGAGAUUGUAUUACUAUUUUUUUUUGAUAUAGAAGAUCAGUGUCAUUUUUGAAAACAUUGUGGGAUAUAUAACUUCUGUCAAUAAUUUUAGAAAUAUAUUUUCAUUGAAACAUUAGAGGUAGAAACAUUGAGUGUAAAUAGAGUGAGCAUCUUCAUGAGUUAGGCUUGAUUUUGAUUUUUUUCAAUAUUUGUGUAUUUUGUGAAGUUUUUAUUUAAAUUUCAGAUAGUUAACAUACAGCAUAGUAAUAAUUUCAGGUGUACAAUAUAGUGAUUCAGCACUUCAUACAACACCUAGUCCUCAUCACAAGUGCACUCCUUAAUCCACAUCACUUAGUUAAUCUGUGCCCUCAGCCACCUCCCGCCUCUGGUAACACUGUUUCAUAAUAGUUAAGAGUCUUUUCUUGGUUUGCCUCUCUUUCUCUCUCUUUGUGUUACUUAGUUUUUUUUUCAACAACUUUUGUUAAAGUACAGAAGCUGUCAUUCAUAUUUUUAAAUGUGAAAUUUGAAUAAUUUCUUAUUUGAAUAUAAAUUUUGGAUGUUAAAUGUUGAGAACAGUGCAGGGAAACCUUUCACUAACUUAUAUAACAUCUUAAUUUCUAGCUAUAUAGAAAUAACCUCUCCACACAUAAACACACAGCAUGCAUACACGCACAUAGCAAAUCUAUUAAUGUUGAACAACUAGGGCAAAAACAGAACUGUUAGAAGACCACUUCUGUGUUUUCACCUGGUGUGUGUUGGGUUGUUACUAAGUAGUUAUGCACAUGUGAUCAGAUGUUUAUUUUUAUACCAUAUAAUUUUAUAGAUGUUCAGAUAUUGCUGUUAUAUAUUUGAAUAGAUUUCACCUAAAAUUAGAGCAAAUAAACUUUUUUUUAAUGCUUGUAGACAUGAAAUGAUAAAAUAACCUUCUGUUGUUAAGUGUGAUGUCUAGAAUGCUGUGUAUGUAAUUAUUUAUAAAACACUUGUUAUUUCUAGGUACAUAGACAUUGCUGACAAACAUACAUUUAAAUAUCAUACUUUUAAAAAUCAGUAUAGUAAUUAGAUUCUCUGCAUGUUCAGUGGUUUGUUGUGAGGGAUAUGGAUGGAGGGGUGGAUGUUUUCCAAUCUCGUCUAUAAUGUAUGAUUUUUUUUAAUUGUUAACUAUUCUUUUUGGUUUAAAGAGAUGGUGAACAUCACGUAUAUGUUGCAGUCAUGCUAUUGAUAAAAUUGGCCAUUAUGAAUAGUUUGUGAGUGAUCAUGAAGAACGUGCGAUUUAGAGACUAGUACAGCAGAGUUUUACACACUGAAACAGUAUUGUGGGAUACACGAAAAGAAUAUGGGAGAAGAUGGGAUAUGAGAAGUACAUGAUGAAAAGAAGAGAUUUAUAGAUAACCUGAGGACAACUGACAUCAGGAAUAUACCUCAUGCUAUGGACUUCCUUAAUGUAAAAGUCUUAAGUGGGAACAAUAGGAGGUGAUAGUUCCAUGAAAACACACUUCCGCCCUCCUGGUUUGUAAUUGCAAGAAUUGGUAUCAUCAGACCUCUCAUUGGCAGUAUUAUUCAUUCAAGGGUUCUUCACCUCUGAUCUCUGGUUCCAGGAAUUCCCCUUGGAGAAAGUACUGUGUUGACUAAACAGAAAAACUGAUGCUAUUGCUUCUGCCACCAUCUUCAAAUCCAAAAGACAGUCUUCAUAAUGUAUGGAGACUUCUGUUUCAUGUGUUGGAGUGGAUACUCCUCGCAGAUCAGAAAAAAUGGACUGACAAAACUCAAGUUUGAAAAUUACCUAGAGUGUCAUUGGAGGGAAUUGUAACCAGGCAUGUUGACUGUUUUCAAAAUUGACAUUGGACUAAAUCUCAGGAGCUUGAAUGGUGGAGAUGUUAUUACCCAGAGAGGUUCAGUAUGGUGUGAUUGAAAGGCAUCAUUUCAGUAUUCCCAUUAGAAUAAAGUACAUGUAUUUAUAAUUUUCACUUAUUACAGGGUAAAUUUAAAAUUGAUGGACAAAAAAUUACCCUUUUCCAGAUUUCAAAAGGCACAGAAAUUUAUCAAGGAUAAACUUUUUACUUCUUAAAUGCUUUUUUUCUCCUAAUUCUACUCUCCAAAAUUAUCUACAGUUAAUGGAGUUUUGUGUUUAUACUCUUCGGGUAUAUUGAUGAACAAAAUUUAUGCUAGUUGUCUUUUGGGCCAAUAUAUUAGCUACAAAUUUUCUAGGCAGUUAAUAUGCUUUAUUUAGAAAUGAUUUUUAACUUUUCUGGCUAAUUUGUUGAAAAUAGUCAUAGUAUUUCCACCUUCUCAGAAUUAAGUAUACCCAAAAUUUACAUUCUGAGUCAAAAGUAAAAAUUUUCCUCAAAUGGUAUAGAUUGUCCUCAUCAGUUUUUCUUCCAGUAUUUGUUUAUGAGAUUUCUCUUUUCUUAAAUAGUACAAACAUUACAUUUCAGAGUUUUAAUCUUUGAUAAUGUGGUGUUACCAAAAAUUGCUUUUAUUCUCUUACUGUUCAGUUCAGUCAUCUUCAUAUAUCCUUAAAACUUACUAGUCACUUGUUUUUUCAUUUUCCUCUGUUGUUUUUUUUUUUAUUUCCCUCCUAAUAUUAGUGUUUUUGUAAUGGUUUCUAAGAGAUCAUUUAUGACUAAGUAUGUUAGUAUGUUAACCAUUUGUCAUGCAUUGCAAAUUACAUACUAUAUAUUCUCAUCACCAUUUUACUGUGAUGUUUUGGUUGUACAAAAGUUGUGUUUUCAAAUACAAUGCUCUGCUUUA
Molecule: long non-coding RNA, 6972 nt
Organism: Lutra lutra (Eurasian river otter)
Lineage: Eukaryota; Metazoa; Chordata; Mammalia; Carnivora; Mustelidae
Exons: 7
Source: RefSeq, a predicted model, not a curated record